Molecule: long non-coding RNA, 291 nt
Filed under: Physcomitrium patens
Lineage: Eukaryota; Viridiplantae; Streptophyta; Bryopsida; Funariales; Funariaceae
Description: long non-coding RNA (PPAT_LNC014199)
Source: RNAcentral
CAAACAACAUAGGACACCAUUUCCUAGAGGAGUUGCAACAAGAGCAAACCAAUUGCUGGAGCUUGUGCAUUCGGAUGUUUGUGGAUCCAUGAGGACACCAUCUAUGAGUGGUAGUGAAAAGUGGGAGAUGUGUCCAAGUGGGAGUAGUGGUGUGUUUGUGGACACAUCUUCAAUUCCAACAAACAAACAAGAAGAUGAAGAAGAGCAUUCUCAAAGUGAAGAAGAAGAGGAAGUUGCCAUGAUAGAAGAGCCCAAUACUAUGAAGACUUCAAUUCCAGCAAGAUACAACAA